RNAcentral lists this ribosomal RNA (292 nucleotides) under uncultured bacterium. RNAcentral describes it as "partial 16S ribosomal RNA". It matches the Rfam family "Archaeal small subunit ribosomal RNA", at positions 455 to 747 of the family's 1478-position model. The record is from RNAcentral.
GUGCAGCAGCCGCGGUAAUACCGGCAGCACGAGUGAUGGCCGAUAUUAUUGGGCCUAAAGCGUCCGUAGCUGGCCGGACAAGUCCGUUGGGAAAUCCACGUGCCUAACACGUGGGCGUCCAGCGGAAACUGUCCGGCUUGGGGCCGGAGGACCCGAGGGGUACGUCCGGGGUAGGAGUGAAAUUCUGUAAUCCUGGACGGACCGCCGGUGGCGAAAGCGCCUCGGGAAGACGGGCCCGACAGUGAGGGACGAAAGCUGGGAUCUCGAACCGGAUUAGAAACCCGGGUAGUCC